RNAcentral lists this unclassified non-coding RNA (586 nucleotides) under Hevea brasiliensis (rubber tree). Lineage: Eukaryota; Viridiplantae; Streptophyta; Magnoliopsida; Malpighiales; Euphorbiaceae. The record is from RNAcentral.
GAAGCAGGGGGGGAAAUUCUAAUCUAUAUGAAGGCUUUGGUUUGAUGGGGUUCCAUACUUCAUCAACUGCUUCUUCUUCUACUGGCACUGCUCAUGAUGUGUCAUUUGGUAGCUCUACGUGUGGGGUGCAGCUCUCAAGUUCAGCAGAUUCAUCUGAACAGAAUAUCCGCAUUGACAGAACCCUGAAACUAAAUUCCGGAUCAUGUUACCUGCCUCAUCCUGAUAAAGAAGAUACUGGUGGAGAGGAUGCUCAUUUUAUUUGCAGUGAUGAACAAGCAAUUGGUGUAGCUGAUGGUGUUGGUGGUUGGGCUGAUCUUGGUAUUGAUGCUGGGAAGUAUGCACGAGAGCUAAUGUCGAACUCAGUGGCCGCAAUUCAAGAUGAGCCAAAAGGUUCAGUGGACCCAGCCAGAGUCCUCGAUAAAGCUUAUACAUGCACAAAAGCCAAAGGUUCCUCAACUGCCUGUAUAAUUGCCCUCACAGAUCAGGGUCUGCAUGCUAUUAAUUUAGGAGAUAGCGGAUUCAUUGUGGUCAGAGAUGGAUCUACUGUUUUCAGAUCCCCUGUGCAGCAGCAUGAUUUCAAUUUCAC